CAGCGGAGGGGCCUCAUGCCCUCCCAUCGAUCCGGCGCCAUCGACCGCUCCAAUUUGCAGGAAUUUAUGGACCCUCAUGGGGCCAGUAGCUAACCUGUUAAAGUGCAGCAUGAACCCCAGAAGCAGAAAGCUACAACAGGCUCCCUUGCAGCUCUUCAUGUUCUUCUGAGCUGCACCCGGUACUUCUUUUACAGAUCGGCUGGGAUACUCUUAAGAAGCUGUGCUGGUGAGGCCAGCUGCAAAGGCUCUUUUCAUCAACCUGAAUCACUUUACGGAAAUCAUUGUCAAGGAGCAAUCAGAUAAAGAGUUAAAUGGCAAAACUGGUUGGGCAGUAACCACUGGGGAAAGGGGACAAACUUCUGGACACAGCUGAGUACAUCCACAUCUUAACCCUGAUGAGCAGAAGUCAGAAGAGCUCACCUAAUAGCAGCCCUCGGUGUUGUCGUGCCAGCUGUGUGAUACCUGGAAGGGGUGCUUAGCUCUUGCAUCAAAAUUCACAGUGCUGAGCAAGUUACCUAAAGCUCUGUGUACACUAGAUGUUUGCCUAUGGAUUUGUUCUGAUGAGCUUUGUGACCUCCCUGUUGCUAUGAUCAAAAUGGUAUGUACUCUGGCAGGUAUCUCUGCUUGAAAGCACCAACUGCUAGCUGAGAGGUAGUAAGGGAUGGCUUUUUAAACCACUUGUCAACUGGUGCCACUUGUUACACUGCAACCCAGUAGUGGGAGCACGUCCCCUUCUUCUCAGUGUGCAGUCAUGCAGGCUGGUGGGGAAGUGGGAUGCAUGUUUCCCUGGAGUGAAGCAGGGAUAGAGUCCACACUGUCAACCUACCUCAGCAAUAAAGUGGUGACUACGUGCUGAGGGGAAGCCUUGA
Molecule: long non-coding RNA, 869 nt
Organism: Strigops habroptila (Kakapo)
Lineage: Eukaryota; Metazoa; Chordata; Aves; Psittaciformes; Psittacidae
Exons: 2
Source: RefSeq, a predicted model, not a curated record